This 312-nucleotide long non-coding RNA is filed under the name Prunus persica (peach). RNAcentral's name for it is "long non-coding RNA (PPER_LNC001041)". The record is from RNAcentral. Lineage: Eukaryota; Viridiplantae; Streptophyta; Magnoliopsida; Rosales; Rosaceae.
AACUUCGUAUGAACCUAAAUUGUCCGAUUUCAUGCACCAAUCGAUAUCGGAUUUAGUCCCGAACUUGGGGAACUUCAUAAUAUUGUGGGAGGGGUUAUUUGCUGGGUUUUGAGUGAAAUCCAAUCUCUAGAACCAUGCAAUACACCAUCCACUCCAUUUCAUAACGAACUUCGUACGAACCUGAAUUAUCAAAUUUCGUGGACCAAUUGAUAUCGGAUUGAGUCCAAAACAUGAUGAACAUCAUAAUAUCAUGGGAGGAGUCAUUUGGUUGGUUCUGAGUGAAAUCCAAUGGCUACAACUAUGCAAUACAAC